AGAGUUUGAUCCUGGCUCAGGACGAACGCUGGCGGCGUGCUUAACACAUGCAAGUCGAGCGGAAAGGCCCUUCGGGGUACUCGAGCGGCGAACGGGUGAGUAACACGUGAGUAACCUGCCCCUGACUCUGGGAUAAGCCCGGGAAACUGGGUCUAAUACCGGAUAUGACACCUCCUCGCAUGGGGUGGGUGUGGAAAGUUUUUCGGUUGGGGAUGGACUCGCGGCCUAUCAGCUUGUUGGUGGGGUAAUGGCCUACCAAGGCGACGACGGGUAGCCGGCCUGAGAGGGCGACCGGCCACACUGGGACUGAGACACGGCCCAGACUCCUACGGGAGGCAGCAGUGGGGAAUAUUGCGCAAUGGGCGAAAGCCUGACGCAGCGACGCCGCGUGGGGGAUGACGGCCUUCGGGUUGUAAACCUCUUUCAGCAGGGACGAAGUUGACGUGUACCUGCAGAAGAAGCGCCGGCUAACUACGUGCCAGCAGCCGCGGAAAUACGUAGGGCGCAAGCGUUGUCCGGAAUUAUUGGGCGUAAAGAGCUCGUAGUGGCUUGUCACGUCGGGUGUGUAAGCUUGGGGCUUAACUCCAGGUCUGCAUUCGAUACGGGCUGGCUAGAGGUAGGUAGGGGAGAACGGAAUUCCUGGUGUAGCGGUGAAAUGCGCAGAUAUCAGGAGGAACACCGGUGGCGAAGGCGGUUCUCUGGGCCUUACCUGACGCUGAGGAGCGAAAGCGUGGGGAGCGAACAGGAUUAGAUACCCUGGUAGUCCACGCUGUAAACGUUGGGCGCUAGGUGUGGGGACCUUCCACGGUUUCCGCGCCGUAGCUAACGCAUUAAGCGCCCCGCCUGGGGAGUACGGCCGCAAGGCUAAAACUCAAAGGAAUUGACGGGGGCCCGCACAAGCGGCGGAGCAUGUUGCUUAAUUCGACGCAACGCGAAGAACCUUACCAAGGCUUGACAUUGCCCGGAAACACUCAGAGAUGGGUGCCUCUUCGGAUCGGGUGACGGGUGGUGCAUGGCUGUCGUCAGCUCGUGUCGUGAGAUGUUGGGUUAAGUCCCGCAACGAGCGCAACCCUUGUUCAAUGUUGCCAGCAACACCCUUCGGGGUGGUUGGGGACUCAUUGGAGACUGCCGGGGUCAACUCGGAGGAAGGUGGGGAUGACGUCAAGUCAUCAUGCCCCUUAUGUCUUGGGCUGCAAACAUGCUACAAUGGCCGGUACAGAGGGCUGCGAUACCGCAAGGUGGAGCGAAUCCCUAAAAGCCGGUCUCAGUUCGGAUUGGGGUCUGCAACUCGACCCCAUGAAGUCGGAGUCGCUAGUAAUCGCAGAUCAGCAACGCUGCGGUGAAUACGUUCCCGGGCCUUGUACACACCGCCCGUCACGUCACGAAAGUCGGCAACACCCGAAGCCCGUGGCCCAACCAGCUUGCUGGGGGGAGCGGUCGAAGGUGGGGCUGGCGAUUGGGACGAAGUCGUAACAAGGUA
Molecule: ribosomal RNA, 1480 nt
Filed under: metagenome
Description: bacterial SSU rRNA
Rfam family: Bacterial small subunit ribosomal RNA
Source: RNAcentral